GAAAUGCGAUAAGUAAUGUGAAUUGCGGAAUUCAGUGAAUCAUCGAAUCUUUGAACGCACCUUGCGCUCCUUGGUAUUCCUUGGAGCAUGCCUGUUUGAGUAUCAUGAAAUCUUCAAAGUAAAUCUUUUGUUAACUCAAUUGGUUUCUACUUUGGUAUUGGAGGUCUUUGCAGCUUCACACCUGCUCCUCUUUGUUCAUUAGCUGGAUCUCAGUGUUAUGCUUGGUUCCACUCGGCGUGAUAAGUUAUCUAUCGCUGAGGACACUGUAAAAGGUGGCCAAGGUAAAUGCAGAUGAACCGCUUCUAAUAGUCCAUUGACUUGGACAAUACUUUUAUGAUCUGAUCUCAAAUCAGGUAGGACUACCCGCUGACCUUAAGC
RNAcentral lists this unclassified non-coding RNA (378 nucleotides) under plant metagenome. RNAcentral's name for it is "partial contains 5.8S ribosomal RNA, internal transcribed spacer 2, and large subunit ribosomal RNA". The stretch from base 1 to 105 matches the Rfam family "5.8S ribosomal RNA", at positions 50 to 154 of the family's 154-position model. The record is from RNAcentral.